GUGGUUGUGGCUCAGUGGUAGAGUGCCUACCUAGUAUAUGUGAUACACUGGGUUCAAUCCUCAGCAUCACA
RNAcentral lists this transfer RNA (71 nucleotides) under Marmota monax (woodchuck). RNAcentral's name for it is "tRNA.Thr". Lineage: Eukaryota; Metazoa; Chordata; Mammalia; Rodentia; Sciuridae. The record is from RNAcentral.